Molecule: ribosomal RNA, 253 nt
Filed under: uncultured bacterium
Lineage: Bacteria
Description: partial 16S ribosomal RNA
Rfam family: Bacterial small subunit ribosomal RNA
Source: RNAcentral
UACAGAGGUGGCAAGCGUUGUUCGGAAUUACUGGGCGUAAAGGGCGCGUAGGCGGUCUUUUAAGUCUUGUGUGAAAUCCCUCGGCUCAACUGAGGAACUGCACGGGAUACUGGAAGACUUGAGUUCGGGAGAGGGAAGCGGAAUUCCAGGUGUAGCGGUGAAAUGCGUAGAUAUCCGGAGGAACACCGGUGGCGAAGGCGGAUCUCUGGGCCUUACCUGACGCUGAGGCGCGAAAGCUAGGGGAGCGAACAGG